GGAUUCGUAACUCAGUUGGUUAGAAUAUCCGGUUCAUAUCCGGAUGGUCGUAAGUUCAAGUCUUACCGAAUCUACCA
Molecule: transfer RNA, 77 nt
Filed under: Megamonas hypermegale
Lineage: Bacteria; Bacillati; Bacillota; Negativicutes; Selenomonadales; Selenomonadaceae
Description: tRNA-Met
Rfam family: tRNA
About the family: Transfer RNA (tRNA) molecules are approximately 80 nucleotides in length. Their secondary structure includes four short double-helical elements and three loops (D, anti-codon, and T loops).
Source: RNAcentral